Molecule: transfer RNA, 62 nt
Filed under: Tenebrionoidea sp. 10 KM-2017
Lineage: Eukaryota; Metazoa; Arthropoda; Insecta; Coleoptera
Description: tRNA-Leu
Source: RNAcentral
UCUAAUAUGGCAGAAUAGUGCGUUGGAUUUAAGCCCCGAAUAUAAAGGUAAUUUUAUUAGAA